AAAUGAAUAGACGGGGGCCCGCACAAGCAGUGGAUUAUGUGGUUUAAUUCGAAGCAACGCGAAGAACCUUACCAGGUCUUGACAUCGAGUGACGUACCUAGAGAUAGGUAUUUCCUUCGGGACACGAAGACAGGUGGUGCAUGGUUGUCGUCAGCUCGUGUCGUGAGAUGUUGGGUUAAGUCCCGCAACGAGCGCAACCCCUGCCAUUAGUUGCUACGCAAGAGCACUCUAAUGGGACCGCCGCCGACAAGGUGGAGGAAGGUGGGGACGACGUCAAAUCAUCAUGCCCCUUAUGACCUGGGCUACACACGUAAUACAAUGGCCGUUAACAACGAGAAGCAAAGCCGCGAGGUGGAGCAAAUCUCCAAAAACGGUCUCAGUUCGGAUUGCAGGCUGCAACUCGCCUGCAUGAAGUUGGAAUUGCUAGUAAUCGUGGAUCAGCACGCCGCGGUGAAUACGUUCCCGGGCCUUGUACACACCGCCCGU
This 486-nucleotide ribosomal RNA is filed under the name uncultured bacterium. Its description in RNAcentral is "bacterial SSU rRNA". It matches the Rfam family "Bacterial small subunit ribosomal RNA", at positions 903 to 1397 of the family's 1533-position model. The record is from RNAcentral.